CCUACGGGAGGCAGCAGUCGAGAAUCAUUCACAAUGGGGGAAACCCUGAUGGUGCGACGCCGCGUGGGGGAAUGAAGGUCUUCGGAUUGUAAACCCCUGUCAUGUGGGAGCAAAUUAAAAAGAUAGUACCCCAAGAGGAAGAGACGGCUAACUCUGUGCCAGCAGCCACGGUAAUACAGAGGUCUCAAGCGUUGUUCGGAAUCACUGGGCGUAAAGCGUGCGGAGGCUGUUUCGUAAGUCGUGUGUGAAAGGCGCGGGCUCAACCCGCGGACGGCACAUGAUACUGCGAGACUAGAGUAAUGGAGGGGGAACCGGAAUUCUCGGUGUAGCAGUGAAAUGCGUAGAUAUCGAGAGGAACACUCGUGGCGAAGGCGGGUUCCUGGACAUUAACUGACGCUGAGGCACGAAGGCCAGGGGAGCGAAAGGGAUUAGAUACCCCAGUAGUC
RNAcentral lists this ribosomal RNA (446 nucleotides) under uncultured bacterium. RNAcentral describes it as "partial 16S ribosomal RNA". It matches the Rfam family "Bacterial small subunit ribosomal RNA", at positions 338 to 795 of the family's 1533-position model. The record is from RNAcentral.